AAGUUUUAUUAUAUUUUAGUAUUUUUCAUUGUCUAUGAUUAGGUUUGAAACUUUUA
Molecule: transfer RNA, 56 nt
Filed under: Thelazia callipaeda (thelaziosis nematode)
Lineage: Eukaryota; Metazoa; Nematoda; Chromadorea; Rhabditida; Thelaziidae
Description: tRNA-Asp
Source: RNAcentral